UCCUCCUCAGUGAGCUCUUAAUCUAUUGGAACUACUGGGGAAAAAGCAGACAUACUCUCCUGGCUCUUCCUCUCCCAAGGAGAAAAGAGAAAUCAGAAGCUUCUCCCUCCGCCCCCACAGUUUGCUGUCCGUGAGCCAACAUUCCCACAUGUCUGCUACAACGAAAGCAAAACCUUCAAAGUCUGUGGCAGUCACGUGUCACGUCCUGCAGUCCGCGGGGCUGAGAAAACCACACGGUCCCAGGGACAGAAGGACUUAGAAGAGUCAUCUUUAUCCCCGGUCCCCAGUGCUAAGAGACCUUGAAAAACACACAGAGGCAAACCAAAACUGUGAGCAAAAGCACCAGAAAGUUAGCCACAGCGUUUUACGGGCAGCGAAUUCAGAGACAGGAAGGAACCGGCUGCCUCAGACCGUCAUUUUCUUUGUCUGGAGUGAGACUUGUCAAGAAUAUGGUCACCUUUCGAGAGAGGGUCACCAGAUUAGAGAUUUCGAAGGUGAUGCUAUCAGAAUCCACCCUGCGGAAUCAUCAUUAUCACUGUCCAUGUGGAGGGAAGCAGAGCUCAGUUUCAGUGUCAAUGGGAUCUGUGAUUCCUGGGGCUGGGUGUGAUCUUGCUGAGUCUUAUCACAGCAGAGCAGAUCUGGAACCAUACAGGGUGGAGGGGCCGUGUGACAGAGGGAGC
Molecule: long non-coding RNA, 680 nt
Organism: Pteropus alecto (black flying fox)
Lineage: Eukaryota; Metazoa; Chordata; Mammalia; Chiroptera; Pteropodidae
Exons: 3
Source: RefSeq, a predicted model, not a curated record